Molecule: long non-coding RNA, 317 nt
Filed under: Homo sapiens (human)
Lineage: Eukaryota; Metazoa; Chordata; Mammalia; Primates; Hominidae
Description: HSALNT0194309
Source: RNAcentral
GUUUUACCUGAAGGCUGCUUUAAUGCCAGCAAAGGCGGUCAUAAGGAAAAGAGGGCGGGAGACCCCAUAUUGAAUGUACCCGGGUUUCAGAUUGCUGAAAACUGCUGGUGUCUCUAGCAUCUUCUUUAUGCCUGGCUUCUCACCCCAAACCAAGCAUUUGUAAAUGCUGAAGAGGAAAGCAGAAUGCAAAAUAUUGGAUUCAACUUAGUGAGCUGCUUUUUCCUCUGGGACAUCGGUACGUAGAGUCUUGACUGCCAUUUCAGCUUUCUGAUGCCUUCAAGUAGAUAUGCCAAAAAAUUUUAGCUAGAUGUACUAGU